GGUCCUGCAGCUCCGUUGGCGGAGCGCCGGUGUGAAGAACCGGAGGACGCUGGUUCGACUCCAGCCGGGACCA
RNAcentral lists this transfer RNA (73 nucleotides) under Actinomycetota bacterium. RNAcentral describes it as "tRNA-Phe". It matches the Rfam family "tRNA". From Rfam's summary of the family: Transfer RNA (tRNA) molecules are approximately 80 nucleotides in length. Their secondary structure includes four short double-helical elements and three loops (D, anti-codon, and T loops). Lineage: Bacteria; Bacillati; Actinomycetota. The record is from RNAcentral.